RNAcentral lists this unclassified non-coding RNA (1245 nucleotides) under Bombus terrestris (buff-tailed bumblebee). Its description in RNAcentral is "misc RNA ENSBTSG00005030530.1". Lineage: Eukaryota; Metazoa; Arthropoda; Insecta; Hymenoptera; Apidae. The record is from RNAcentral.
UAGUAUAAUCACAGAUAAGGAUCAGAACGAAUAAAACAUAUUACAGAAAAAAUUUGUAAAAAGAAUUCCAAUACAAUAGCAUCGAACAGGUUACACCGGUGCAAGAAACCCGACAGUUCAUGCGAUUACUUCAAUACCGUGUGUCAGAACGAAUCAAGGGACAAAGCUACGAGCACGUAUUGUGUGUCAGGUGAAUGGCUACUGCGUUUCAUUUACGUUCCACUUAACGCGCAUGUCCAGAGAUUAGAUUAUACAAGGGUUGAUGCCAAGAGCACGACAACGCCUCUGAAAUAGGAUGAAUUCUUCGUGAUAGAAGAUCUCGUAUUGACAAUAAAGAGGGAUCGCGGACAGGCGCAGCUGAUUGCUCGCAAUCGCGAACAAUCGCCACGACUAUUUGCUUACUGGCACACUUCAUUAGAAUCAUUUUGUUGCAUACGAACGAGAUUCCACGUUAUCAGACUGAUCCAAUAUUCCGUGUAACUAUCGUUCGUGUUCUCUCCUCUUUUAUUAUUUCUCUUUGUUAUAUGCUUUCGUCUUUGCUCCACUUUAUUCACCUUUAUUACCUCGUUACAUUAUACCGUGUGACGCUUUCACGCCAUUGUUGUCGAACUUCCAGACAUCAGAGUAUUUUUGUAACAUGAUGCGCCGCACGGUAAAUAUAUGAUGUCUUACCCAAAUAAUUCUCCGUAUGACGUAACUGUGUCACGUUCAGAACUACAGCACCUCGGGGAACCGUGGCCACCAAGUUAUAACCCCGUUCCAAGGUCGGUUCCGUGAAAAUCCCGUCGAUUAAGUGCCCACCGCAGAAACUCCAGAAACACUACAAAUACAGAUGGAGAUUAAUCAGUAUCGCAUAUUGCAAUUUAUUGAAAUGUUUUUAAUAAAUCAAUUGUAACACAACUAAAUCUUUAGUUAUUAUAUUUUAUAUUCUAAAUAUUUAUUACAUGUACAUGAUAAAUCUUGGAACGCAUUUGAAUAACUCUUUGGAAUUGAAAUAAUAGUAUUUGAAUACGUUAAAGCGAUGAAUAUAAUGGGAAGCGUCACAGUCUAGUUAUAUAAUAAUAUAAAUAACGUAAUGUUAUUUUGUUUUACUUUCAUUAGCUUUCGAGUACAGCACCCUGUAACAAAAUUGAUCAGAAAGCGACAAAGCACAACAUUGUCGGAGGGAAGCAGGAAUGACACGGAAGUAAUAACACGUUUGUACGCUCUCGAUGAGGAAGCAAUCAGAUUGUGCUAACAAAAGUA